AACGAACGCUGGCGGCAUGCCUAACACAUGCAAGUCGAACGAGACCUUCGGGUCUAGUGGCGCACGGGUGCGUAACGCGUGGGAAUCUGCCCUUGGGUCCGGAACGACAGUUAGAAAUGACUGCUAAUACCGGACGAUGACUUCGGUCCAAAGAUUUAUCGCCCAGGGAUGGGCCCGCGUCGGAUUAGCUAGUUGGUGAGGUAAAGGCUCACCAAGGCGACGAUCCGUAGCUGGUCUGAGAGGAUGAUCAGCCACACUGGGACUGAGGACACGGCCCAGACUCCUACGGGAGGCAGCAGUGGGGAAUAUUGGACAAUGGGCGAAAGCCUGAUCCAGCAAUGCCGCGUGAGUGAUGAAGGCCUUAGGGUUGUAAAGCUCUUUUACCCGGGAUGAUAAUGACAGUACCGGGAGAAUAAGCCCCGGCUAACUCCGUGCCAGCCGCCGCAGUAA
This 450-nucleotide ribosomal RNA is filed under the name uncultured bacterium. RNAcentral's name for it is "partial 16S ribosomal RNA". It matches the Rfam family "Bacterial small subunit ribosomal RNA", at positions 29 to 523 of the family's 1533-position model. The record is from RNAcentral.